GUCCCAAGCUUAAUUUGUUCGUAUACCUAGGUUCCCCACAGAAUUUGGACUUAGAUACGCUUUAGUGCUACUUAUAAUUGAUUUUGACGUGUUCUGGAUUUGGAUGGGAAACUUACAUGUGAGAGUGAUGCAAAGAGGGCAUCAAAGAUGGAUGGACCAAUGCAUUCAUUGUUGGAGCGUGAUCCACGACCAUGUUCUCUUUUAUUAGUGGUAGGCGAAUGCAUGAUCACCUGGA
RNAcentral lists this long non-coding RNA (235 nucleotides) under Elaeis guineensis (African oil palm). RNAcentral describes it as "long non-coding RNA (EGUI_LNC038834)". Lineage: Eukaryota; Viridiplantae; Streptophyta; Magnoliopsida; Arecales; Arecaceae. The record is from RNAcentral.